Long non-coding RNA from Trematomus bernacchii (emerald rockcod), 175 nucleotides. RefSeq lists it as uncharacterized. The transcript is spliced from 3 exons. The record is from RefSeq and is a predicted model, not a curated record. NCBI's taxonomy places the organism in Eukaryota, Metazoa, Chordata, Actinopteri, Perciformes, Nototheniidae.
CUUCCAGGACCAGGACCAGGACCUAAACAGAAGCAUAAGCUGCCCCAGACCUCCAGGACCUCCAGACGAGUCAUGAAGCUGCUCCUCCUGCUGGCAGUUGCUGCCAGCCAGAUGGAGCUCUCUGCCUCUCAGAGAGGUACUCUGAAUGCUCCUGGUGGAAACAUCGACAUCAGCG